This 451-nucleotide ribosomal RNA is filed under the name uncultured bacterium. RNAcentral describes it as "partial 16S ribosomal RNA". It matches the Rfam family "Bacterial small subunit ribosomal RNA", at positions 28 to 507 of the family's 1533-position model. The record is from RNAcentral.
GAUGAACGCUGGCGGAGUGCCUAACACAUGCAAGUCGAGCGGCAGCGCGAGUAGUUUACUCCUUGGCGGCGAGCGGCGGACGGCUGAGUAACGCGUGGGAACAUGCCCCAAAGUGAGGAAUAACCUCCCGAAAGGACCGCUAAUGCCCCCUAUGAUCUUCGGAUUAAAGGAUUUAUCCGCUUUGGGAGUGGCCUGCGUACGGUUGGAUAGUUGGUGAGGUAAAGGCUCAGCAAGUCGACGAUCGUUAACUGGUUUGAGAGGAUGAUCAGUCAGACUGGAACUGAGACACGGUCCAGACUCCUACGGGAGGCAGCAGUGAGGAAUCUUCCACAAUGGGCGAAAGCCUGAUGGAGCAACUCCGCGUGCAGGAUGAAGGCCUUCGGGUUGUAAACUGCUUUUAUGAGUGAAGAAUAUGACGGUAACUCAUGAAUAAGGGUCGGCUAACUACGUG